RNAcentral lists this ribosomal RNA (485 nucleotides) under uncultured bacterium. RNAcentral describes it as "bacterial SSU rRNA". It matches the Rfam family "Bacterial small subunit ribosomal RNA", at positions 399 to 895 of the family's 1533-position model. The record is from RNAcentral.
GCGUGAGGGAUGAAGGCCUUCGGGUUGUAAACCUCUUUCAGUAGGGAAGAAGCGCAAGUGACGGUACCUACAGAAGAAGCACCGGCUAACUACGUGCCAGCAGCCGCGGUAAUACGUAGGGUGCGAGCGUUGUCCGGAAUUAUUGGGCGUAAAGAGCUUGUAGGCGGUUUGUCGCGUCUGCCGUGAAAAUCCGGGGCUCAACUCCGGACUUGCGGUGGGUACGGGCAGACUAGAGUGUGGUAGGGGAGACUGGAAUUCCUGGUGUAGCGGUGAAAUGCGCAGAUAUCAGGAGGAACACCGAUGGCGAAGGCAGGUCUCUGGGCCACUACUGACGCUGAGAAGCGAAAGCGUGGGGAGCGAACAGGGUUAGAUACCCUGGUAGUCCACGCCGUAAACGUUGGGAACUAGGUGUGGGUCUCAUUCCACGAGAUCCGUGCCGCAGCUAACGCAUUAAGUUCCCCGCCUGGGGAGUACGGCGCAAGGCU